Molecule: ribosomal RNA, 253 nt
Filed under: uncultured bacterium
Lineage: Bacteria
Description: partial 16S ribosomal RNA
Rfam family: Bacterial small subunit ribosomal RNA
Source: RNAcentral
AACAGAGGGGGCAAGCGUUGUCCGGAUUGACUGGGCGUAAAGGGUCCGCAGGUGGUGCGUCACGUGGUGUGUGAAAGCGCGCGGCUUAACCGCGCGAGGCCAGACCAUACGGACGCGCUGGAGCCGCAGCGAGGGACGUGGAAUUGCCGGUGUAGUGGUGAAAUGCGUAGAGAUCGGCAGGAACACCAAGGGGGAAGCCAGCGUCCUGGCUGCGUGCUGACACUCAGGGACGACCGCGUGGGGAGCGAACCGG